GGAAUCCGCUAAGGAGUGUGUAACAAKUCACCUGCCGAAUGAAUUAGCCCUGAAAAUGGAUGGCGCUGAAGCGGGUAGCCGACACCACGCCGUCUGGACAAAGUGGUCUUUCAGAUGAGUAGGAGGGCGUGGCGGUUGUAUCGAAGCGUGGAUGCGAAUCUGCGUGGAACAGCCGCUAGUGCAGAUCUUGGUGGUAGUAGCAAAUAUUCAAGCGAGAUCCUUGAAGGGCGAAGCGGGGAAGGGUUCCACGCGAACAUUGAUUGGGCGUGGGUGAGUCGUUCCUAAGCCGCGUGGCAAUAGCUAAUUACCGGCGAAAGGGAAGCAGGUUGACAUUCCUGCACACGGAUGUGGAGACGGCGACGAUACAUGAGGCGAUCACGCUGGCGGUGGCGCUGGGCAGAGUUGUCUUUUCUGUUUGACCAUUGAAUACUUGCUGUGUGGAAUCCGCUUGUCGGGAGAAACACGCAGGUACGGGCAGAGCGCCGGGGCUUUUCCGGCGUCCAGCUCGCCACCGACGGCCCUUGAAAAAUUGCCUGCUGAACAACACUUGUGUUGUGAGAUCCACGCCGUGGCGUACCGAUAACCGCAUCAGGUCCCCAAGGUGAACAGCCUCUGCUCAKUAUGAACAAKGCAGGUAAGGGAAGUCGGCA
Molecule: ribosomal RNA, 650 nt
Filed under: Spyridia filamentosa
Lineage: Eukaryota; Rhodophyta; Florideophyceae; Ceramiales; Spyridiaceae
Description: eukaryotic LSU rRNA
Rfam family: Eukaryotic large subunit ribosomal RNA
Source: RNAcentral